AGCAGCCGCGGUAAUUCCAGCUCCAAUAGCGUAUAUUAAAGUUGUUGCAGUUAAAAAGCUCGUAGUUGAAUUUCGGGGUUAGUAGGUUGGUCAUGCCCCUGGUAUGUACUGGUCUCACUGAUUCCUCCUUCCUUAUGAACCGUAAUGCCAUUAAUUUGGUGUUGCGGGAAAUUUGGACUGUUACUUUGAAAAAUUAGAGUGUUUAAAGCAAGCUAACGCUUGAAUACAUUAGCAUGGAGUAAUGAAAUAGGACGUUCGAUCUUAUUUUGUUGGUUUCUAGGAUUGACGUAAUGAUUAAUAGGGAUAGUUGGGGGCAUUAGUAUUCAAUUGUCAGAGGUGAAAUUCUUGGAUUUAUUGAAGACUAACUACUGCGAAAGCAUUUGCCAAGGAUGUUUUCAUUAAUCAAGAACGAAAGUUAGGGGAUCGAAGACGAUCAGAUACCGUCGUAGUCUUAACCAUAAACUAUGCCAACUAGGGAUCGGAUGAUGUUAAUUUUUUAAUUGUACUCAUUCGGCGCCUU
RNAcentral lists this ribosomal RNA (520 nucleotides) under uncultured Glomus. RNAcentral describes it as "SSU rRNA". It matches the Rfam family "Eukaryotic small subunit ribosomal RNA", at positions 569 to 1089 of the family's 1831-position model. The record is from RNAcentral. Lineage: Eukaryota; Fungi; Glomeromycota; Glomeromycetes; Glomerales; Glomeraceae.